This 433-nucleotide ribosomal RNA is filed under the name uncultured bacterium. RNAcentral describes it as "partial 16S ribosomal RNA". It matches the Rfam family "Bacterial small subunit ribosomal RNA", at positions 29 to 507 of the family's 1533-position model. The record is from RNAcentral.
AACGAACGCUGGCGGCAGGCCUAACACAUGCAAGUCGAGCGAGGACUUCGGUCCUAGCGGCGUACGGGUGAGUAACGCGUGGGAACGUGCUCUUUGCUUCGGAAUAGCUCUUGGAAACUGGGAGUAAUACCGGAUGAGCCCUUUGGUGGAAUGGUUUAUCGGCGAAGGAUCGGCCCGCGUUGGAUUAGGUUGUUGGUGGGGUUAUGGCCUACCACGCCGACGAUCCAUAGCUGGUUUGAGAGGAUGAUCAGCAACACUGGGAGUUAGACACGGCCCAGACUCCUACGGGAGGCAGCAGUGGGGAAUCUUAGACAAUGGGGGAAACCCUGAUCUAGCCAGGCCGCGUGAGCGAUGAAGGCCUUAGGGUUGUAAAGCUCUUUCAGCUGGGAAGAUAAUGACGGUACCAGCAGAAGAAGCCCCGGCUAACUCCGUG